UCCGCCGCGAGGCGGAAUCUGAAGAAAGCGGGCGGCAAACCUCCGGUCUGAGGAACACGAACUCCAUAUAAGGCUAUGUAUGGUUGGAUGAGCUUGCCAACCAAAGCAAAGCCCUUUCUGCCGAAGGCCAUAUGCAGUAAAUGGAGCGGAUAGGUGGAGGGAAAGACUGCGCUC
RNAcentral lists this non-coding RNA (174 nucleotides) under Bhargavaea beijingensis. Lineage: Bacteria; Bacillati; Bacillota; Bacilli; Caryophanales; Caryophanaceae. The record is from RNAcentral.